UGGUGAUUCCAACAUUCAUGCUGAGAACCCGGAGGACAGAGGGACCAAAAAACUGUGUUGUGUUCUUGAUAACUUUGGUCUAACUCAGCAUGUGGACCAGAGGACCCUGUCUGGAUCUGUUGUGAAAGAAAUGAAGC
Long non-coding RNA from Melanotaenia boesemani (Boeseman's rainbowfish), 137 nucleotides. RefSeq lists it as uncharacterized. The record is from RefSeq and is a predicted model, not a curated record. Lineage: Eukaryota; Metazoa; Chordata; Actinopteri; Atheriniformes; Melanotaeniidae. The transcript has 3 exons.